RNAcentral lists this ribosomal RNA (792 nucleotides) under uncultured bacterium. RNAcentral describes it as "bacterial SSU rRNA". It matches the Rfam family "Bacterial small subunit ribosomal RNA", at positions 8 to 796 of the family's 1533-position model. The record is from RNAcentral.
AGAGUUUGAUCCUGGCUCAGGAUGAACGCUGGCGGCGUGCCUAACACAUGCAAGUCGAGCGAGAUUUAGUGGAGUGGAGACUUCGGUCAAAGUGAAGCUAAUGAAAGCGGCGGACGGGUGAGUAACGCGUGGGCAACCUGCCCCAUACAAAGGGAUAGCCACUGGAAACGGUGAUUAAUACCUUAUAAGUCGGUAGUCUCGCAUGAGACAGCCGACAAAGAUUUAUCGGUAUGGGAUGGGCCCGCGUUUGAUUAGCUAGUUGGUGAGGUAACGGCUCACCAAGGCGACGAUCAAUAGCCGACCUGAGAGGGUGAUCGGCCACACUGGAACUGAGACACGGUCCAGACUCCUACGGGAGGCAGCAGUGGGGAAUAUUGCACAAUGGGCGCAAGCCUGAUGCAGCAACGCCGCGUGAGUGAUGAAGGCCUUCGGGUCGUAAAACUCUGUCCUAUGGGAAGAAAAAAAUGACGGUACCAUAGGAGGAAGCCCCGGCUAACUACGUGCCAGCAGCCGCGGUAAUACGUAGGGGGCAAGCGUUAUCCGGAAUUAUUGGGCGUAAAGAGCUCGUAGGCGGUUUGUCGCGUCUGCCGUGAAAGUCCGGGGCUCAACUCCGGAUCUGCGGUGGGUACGGGCAGACUAGAGUGAUGUAGGGGAGACUGGAAUUCCUGGUGUAGCGGUGAAAUGCGCAGAUAUCAGGAGGAACACCGAUGGCGAAGGCAGGUCUCUGGGCAUUAACUGACGCUGAGGAGCGAAAGCAUGGGGAGCGAACAGGAUUAGAUACCCUGGUAGUCC